UGCCCCCGUAGUUCAAUGGAUAGAACAAGGGUUUCCUAAGCUCUAAAUCCAGGUUCGAUUCCUGGCGGGGCAU
This 73-nucleotide transfer RNA is filed under the name Deltaproteobacteria bacterium. RNAcentral's name for it is "tRNA-Arg". It matches the Rfam family "tRNA". Rfam says of the family: Transfer RNA (tRNA) molecules are approximately 80 nucleotides in length. Their secondary structure includes four short double-helical elements and three loops (D, anti-codon, and T loops). The record is from RNAcentral. Lineage: Bacteria; Pseudomonadati; Myxococcota; Myxococcia.